RNAcentral lists this long non-coding RNA (211 nucleotides) under Elaeis guineensis (African oil palm). Its description in RNAcentral is "long non-coding RNA (EGUI_LNC047498)". The record is from RNAcentral. Lineage: Eukaryota; Viridiplantae; Streptophyta; Magnoliopsida; Arecales; Arecaceae.
GAGAAAGUAGGGAUUAAAGUUUCUCUCUUGUCCAAUAGAUGGAUUCUCUUAUGGCAUGUAGGAGUGCCACUUGUGAUGUCUUAUGAAGAUGAAUCGCAAAAAUAAAAACUUAAUUUUUGCAAAACUCUAGAUCCAAAACCUUAGGAACUGUCAUAUAUGUUGCAUAGUAAAGUUGUUUAGAUUUGAAAAUUAUUUUUAUGUCUAAACUAGA